This 253-nucleotide ribosomal RNA is filed under the name uncultured bacterium. RNAcentral's name for it is "partial 16S ribosomal RNA". It matches the Rfam family "Bacterial small subunit ribosomal RNA", at positions 524 to 776 of the family's 1533-position model. The record is from RNAcentral.
UACAGAGGUCCCAAGCGUUGUUCGGAUUCACUGGGCGUAAAGGGUGCGUAGGCGGUCGGGUAAGUCUGACGUGAAAUCUUCAAGCUCAACUUGGAAACUGCGUCGGAUACUAUUCGGCUGGAGGAAUGGAGGGGAGACUGGAAUACUUGGUGUAGCAGUGAAAUGCGUAGAUAUCAAGUGGAACACCAGUGGCGAAGGCGAGUCUCUGGACAUUUCCUGACGCUGAGACACGAAAGCCAGGGGAGCAAACGGG